This 41-nucleotide non-coding RNA is filed under the name Echinostoma caproni. Lineage: Eukaryota; Metazoa; Platyhelminthes; Trematoda; Plagiorchiida; Echinostomatidae. The record is from RNAcentral.
GCACUGCUGACGAGUCCUAAAUAGGACGAAACAGCUGUCCA